GGUUGCGAUUAUACCAGCACUAAUGCACCGGAUCCCAUCAGAACUUUGCAGUUAAGCGUGCUUGGGCGAGAGUAGUACUAGGAUGGGUGACCCCCUGGGAAGUCCUCGUGUUGCAACCC
Molecule: ribosomal RNA, 119 nt
Filed under: Helianthus annuus (common sunflower)
Lineage: Eukaryota; Viridiplantae; Streptophyta; Magnoliopsida; Asterales; Asteraceae
Source: RNAcentral